CACGUGGGCAAUCUGCCCUUCGAUGGGGAAUAACCCCGGGAAACCGGGGCUAAUUCCGCAUAAUAUUCCGAUGACUAACGUCAAUGGAUUCAAAGCCGUAAGGCGUCGAAGGAGGAGCCCGCGCACGAUUAGCUAGUUGGUGAGGUAACGGCUCACCAAGGCUAUGAUCGUUAGCUGGUCUGAGAGGAUGGCCAGCCACACUGGAACUGAGACACGGUCCAG
Molecule: ribosomal RNA, 222 nt
Filed under: uncultured bacterium
Lineage: Bacteria
Description: partial 16S ribosomal RNA
Rfam family: Bacterial small subunit ribosomal RNA
Source: RNAcentral